UGCAAGUCGAGGGGCAGCAUCAUCAAAGCUUGCUUUGAUGGAUGGCGACCGGCGCACGGGUGAGUAACACGUAUCCAACCUGCCGACAACACUGGGAUAGCCUUUCGAAAGAAAGAUUAAUACCGGAUGGUAUAGUUUUCCCGCAUGGGAUGAUUAUUAAAGAAUUUCGGUUGUCGAUGGGGAUGCGUUCCAUUAGGCAGUUGGCGGGGUAACGGCCCACCAAACCUACGAUGGAUAGGGGUUCUGAGAGGAAGGUCCCCCACAUUGGAACUGAGACACGGUCCAAACUCCUACGGGAGGCAGCAGUGAGGAAUAUUGGUCAAUGGACGAGAGUCUGAACCAGCCAAGUAGCGUGAAGGAUGACUGCCCUAUGGGUUGUAAACUUCUUUUAUACGGGAAUAAAGUGAGCCACGUGUGGCUUUUUGUAUGUACCGUAUGAAUAAGGAUCGGCUAACUCCGUGCCAGCAGCCGCGGUAAUACGGAGGAUCCGAGCGUUAUCCGGAUUUAUUGGGUUUAAAGGGAGCGUAGGCGGGUUGUUAAGUCAGUUGUGAAAGUUUGCGGCUCAACCGUAAAAUUGCAGUUGAUACUGGCGACCUUGAGUGCAACAGAGGUAGGCGGAAUUCGUGGUGUAGCGGUGAAAUGCUUAGAUAUCACGAAGAACUCCGAUUGCGAAGGCAGCUUACUGGAUUGUAACUGAUGCUGAUGCUCG
This 709-nucleotide ribosomal RNA is filed under the name uncultured bacterium. RNAcentral's name for it is "bacterial SSU rRNA". It matches the Rfam family "Bacterial small subunit ribosomal RNA", at positions 56 to 755 of the family's 1533-position model. The record is from RNAcentral.